UACGUAGGGUGCAAGCGUUGUCCGGAAUUAUUGGGCGUAAAGAGCUCGUAGGCGGUCUGUCACGUCGGACGUGAAAAUCCAGGGCUCAACCCUGGACCUGCGUUCGAUACGGGCAGACUAGAGUUCGGUAGGGGAGACUGGAAUUCCCGGUGUAGCGGUGAAAUGCGCAGAUAUCAGGAGGAACACCGGUGGCGAAGGCGGUUCUCUGGGCAUGUCCUGACGCUGAGGAGCGAAAGUGUGGGGAGCGAACAGG
Molecule: ribosomal RNA, 253 nt
Filed under: uncultured bacterium
Lineage: Bacteria
Description: partial 16S ribosomal RNA
Rfam family: Bacterial small subunit ribosomal RNA
Source: RNAcentral